CUCCCGGCGGCCCCGCGGGCCCCGCGCGUUUCCGUUUCCGCGGGUUACCGGCGGCACGGCCCGGACAGCCCGGCCUGGAGCCACACCCGAGCACGGCCUGGGGAGAGGGGGUGGGCCGGGGGAGCUGCUGGUGCCCAGAAACCUUCACGGGGAAAAACCGCUUGGGCUUAAUUACAGUGCGUGGGAGCCGCGGGGGAGGCACGGCAGGGGCGCGGUCACUGCCUGGGCUCGUUACGGGAUCGGGCGCUGAUCUCCCUGCGAGCGGGGACAGGACCGGAGGGAACGGCUGGAGCUGUGUCAGGGCAGGGUCAGCCGUGCCAAGAAAACCAAAAAGAAAGAUCCAAAAGAAGGAAGGAAGAAUCCCAAAGAAUCAGAGAAAUCUCCCAGUCCUUUGAGCUCUUCAGUCUCUUCUUCAGUCAAUGAUUGUGUGUAUGUGCAAUCCCAAAUAAAACCUCUGGCUGACUCCUCUA
Molecule: long non-coding RNA, 470 nt
Organism: Pseudopipra pipra
Lineage: Eukaryota; Metazoa; Chordata; Aves; Passeriformes; Pipridae
Exons: 2
Source: RefSeq, a predicted model, not a curated record